Molecule: ribosomal RNA, 761 nt
Filed under: uncultured Bacteroidota bacterium
Lineage: Bacteria; Pseudomonadati; Bacteroidota
Description: bacterial SSU rRNA
Rfam family: Bacterial small subunit ribosomal RNA
Source: RNAcentral
UCGAACGGUAACAGACAAAGCCUAGCUUUGUGCUGACGAGUGGCGCACGGGUGAGUAACGCGUACACAACCUACCUUCAAGAGGAGAAUAGCCCUGGGAAACUGGGAUUAAUACUCCAUAGAAUUACUGUGUUAAAGGAUGUUUAAGUAAUUAAAGUUUAGGCGCUUGGAGAUGGGUGUGCGUCCCAUUAGCUAGUUGGUGAGGUAACGGCUCACCAAGGCGACGAUGGGUAGGGGGCGUGAGAGCGUGACCCCCCACACGGGUACUGAGACACGGACCCGACUCCUACGGGAGGCAGCAGUAAGGAAUAUUGGACAAUGGGCGCAAGCCUGAUCCAGCCAUCCCGCGUGGAGGAUGACUGCCCUAUGGGUUGUAAACUCCUUUUAGAUAGGAAGAAACCCCUUUAUUUAUGAAGGGCUGACGGUACUAUCAGAAUAAGCACCGGCUAACUCCGUGCCAGCAGCCGCGGUAAUACGGAGGGUGCAAGCGUUAUCCGGAAUCACUGGGUUUAAAGGGUGCGUAGGCGGAUAGAUAAGUCAGAGGUGAAAGCCCGCAGCUUAACUGCGGAAUUGCCCUUUGAUACUGUUUAUCUUGAAUGAGGUUGAGGUUAGCGGAAUGAGUCGUGUAGCGGUGAAAUGCAUAGAUAUGACUUAGAACACCAAUUGCGUAUGCAGCUAGCUAGGCCUUUAAUUGACGCUGAGCACAGAAAGCAGUGGGGGAGCGAACAGGAUUGGAUACCCUGGUCAGUCCAUGCCCUAAUA